Molecule: ribosomal RNA, 675 nt
Filed under: Listeria monocytogenes
Lineage: Bacteria; Bacillati; Bacillota; Bacilli; Caryophanales; Listeriaceae
Description: partial 23S ribosomal RNA
Rfam family: Bacterial large subunit ribosomal RNA
Source: RNAcentral
AAAUGGCUUUCCCUCCAGAGUGGAUCCUGAGUACGGCGGAACACGUGAAAUUCCGUCGGAAUCCGGGAGGACCAUCUCCCAAGGCUAAAUACUCCCUAGUGACCGAUAGUGAACCAGUACCGUGAGGGAAAGGUGAAAAGCACCCCGGAAGGGGAGUGAAACAGUUCCUGAAACCGUGUGCCUACAAGUAGUUAGAGCCCGUUAAUGGGUGAUAGCGUGCCUUUUGUAGAAUGAACCGGCGAGUUACGAUUUGUUGCAAGGUUAAGCGGAAAAAGCGGAGCCGUAGCGAAAGCGAGUCUGAAUAGGGCGCAUAAGUAACAGGUCGUAGACCCGAAACCAGGUGAUCUACCCAUGUCCAGGAUGAAGGUAAGGUAAUACUUACUGGAGGUCCGAACCCACGCACGUUGAAAAGUGCGGGGAUGAGGUGUGGGUAGCGGAGAAAUUCCAAUCGAACUUGGAGAUAGCUGGUUCUCUCCGAAAUAGCUUUAGGGCUAGCCUCGAGGUAAAGAGUCAUGGAGGUAGAGCACUGUUUGGACUAGGGGCCCUUCUCGGGUUACCGAAUUCAGAUAAACUCCGAAUGCCAUGUACUUAUACUCGGGAGUCAGACUGCGAGUGAUAAGAUCCGUAGUCGAAAGGGAAACAGCCCAGACCACCAGUUAAGGUCCCCAAAUAUAU